GUGGGGAAUCUUGCACAAUGGGCGCAAGCCUGAUCUAGCCAUGCCGCGUGAGUGAUGAAGGCCCUAGGGUUGUAAAGCUCUUUCAGCUGGGAAGAUAAUGACUGUACCCCAAGAAGAAGCCCCGGCUAACUCCGUGCCAGCAGCCGCGGUAAUACGGAGGGGGCUAGCGUUGUUCGGAAUUACUGGGCGUAAAGCGCACGUAGGCGGACUGGAAAGUCAGGGGUGAAAUCCCGGGGCUCAACCCCGGAACUGCCUUUGAAACUCCCAGUCUUGAGUUCGAGAGAGGUGAGUGGAAUUCCGAGUGUAGAGGUGAAAUUCGUAGAUAUUCGGAGGAACACCAGUGGCGAAGGCGGCUCACUGGCUCGAUACUGACGCUGAGGUGCGAAAGCGUGGGGAGCAAACAGGAUUAGAAACCCGAGUAGUCC
Molecule: ribosomal RNA, 425 nt
Filed under: uncultured bacterium
Lineage: Bacteria
Description: partial 16S ribosomal RNA
Rfam family: Bacterial small subunit ribosomal RNA
Source: RNAcentral